AUAUAAGAGAGUUUUCAACACAAUCGUGGUUCAUGGAGCCUUGUGAUUUGGAGUGCUACUAUUACAAGGGCGUGGUUGUUGUAUCUUGGGAGACAUGCACCGAUCAACCAUGAGAAUCGUAAUAGAGCGUAAACUUGUCUAAAGGACAAAGUGUCCAACACUGGCCUCAACCGUAUUUUCUAGAUUUUUCUAAUCCAUUAUGUCAUGUUGAUUUAGCAUUGGUUACUCAUGUGCAUGCAUUAAUUUUGAUAUAUAAUUGCAUGAAUUAUUUCUUAAAUUUUAUGUGAUUUAAUAUAACAAUUAGACCCAAUUAUUCGAACAAUCUUAAGACAAGUUUACGCCCCACUACGGUGCUCAUGGUUGAUCGGCGCAUGUCUCCCAAGAUACAACGACCACGUCCUUAUAAUAGUAGCACUCCAAAUCACAAGGCUCCAUGAACCACGAUUGUGUUGAAAACCCUCUCAUAUAGACUCAAUGAGACUCUCUAAUAUUUAGUGCACUCUAUGUAUGAUUAUGUAGACAAUGAAAAGUUAUUUGUGAUUAUAGGGGGCUUCCCUAUUUAUAAAAUGUGAGAUACCUCUUUGGAAAACAUGUGACUAUUCAUGAAGAGUCAAAAAGUUGCAACUCUUCAUUUGAGUAGACACAUCUUUCUACCAAAAGCUCCACUUCUAAUUUCCAUUCAAUUAAUAAAUUUAAUAUAAUAAUAAUAUUAUUAUUAAAUUUUCCAACAAUCCCCCACAUGAAUGGAAAUUGACUUAAUAACAUGCAAAUGACAAUACAGACACUAGAGAGAGAAUUCAGUAGGAAAAGUACCGCAUCGGGAUAGGUGGCUUUUGGCUUUGAACCUUCCGUAGUGAAUUACUAUCGGAUUUACUUGGCUAAUCAGUGAACGCGAUGUCUUGAACUGCUCAGCCGUUUGUGUAAACCAAGACAAUAGUAAUCACACAAUACCCUUCCAGACAUUUCAUGGUUGCUCGGUUGUGUUCAUUUUGGCCCUGAACAAUUCUUGGUUUCUCAUGAGUGCUUUUAGAUGAAGGAAUCAUAAUGAACUAAGUCUUGAACUAGAUUCCUCUAAUUCAGAUUACAACAUAUGACACACAUAGUAUUGAUCAAAAAACUUAGCGCGGGUUAGCACUAUUAAUAGCCAUGUGCUUAAUCUUGAUUUUCAUGAGUGUUUUUAGAGAACAACCCAAUUCUCACAGUCGCGGCCUCACGACUACUCUCACUUAGGUGAGUCAUCCAAGAGUACAUGUGACCUAUACUCUGCGGGAGAUUGCCCGCCUUGGAACUCAUUCAAGACAAUGUCUUUCCUUAACAUCACAUAUCAUCAGCACAAAUGUCAUAGGGAUGAGCAGGGGAUUUUAUUUCAAAUCUCCUAUUUAAGAGUGCUGGAAUAUAAGUCACGCAUUAUGGAUUGUUUCUACCCAUUGAACCUUCUUCAUGGGAUCUCCAAUCACAAAGGUUGGGUUUCUUCCCUAGGUGACUUCCUUAUGGGUUUAAGCCCAUCCCCCUCGACAAAUUUAGGACUCCAUUCCUAGAUAGACCUUUGGUCAAUUGAUCGGCAAUGUUCUUUUCCGACUUCACAUAGUCCAAAGAAAUAACUUCUUUAUUUAAUAGGCUUCUCACAGAUUUGUAUCUAACAUUAAUAUGUCUAUUUAAUUUCUUAUUUGUAUGUGUCUGCCUCACUAAAUCUAUCACAGCCUUAUUAUCACAAUGUAUGGAAAUGGCAGGUAUAGGCUUGCUCACCAAUGGAAUAUCAAGCAAAAAAUUCUUAAUCCAUUUAGCCUCUAUACAUGCAGUAUCAAGAGCUAUGAGUUCAGAUUCCAUUGUACUUCUAGAAAUUAUUGUUUGUUUCUUAGAUCCCCAAGAUAUAGCUGCUCCUCCCAAUAAAAAUACAUAACCUGAAGUGGAUUUCACUUCGGAGCUAUCAGUGAUCCAAUUUGCAUCACUAUACCCUUCUACUACAUAAGGAAAUCCUUUAUAGUGUAUAGAAUAAACCAUAGUUCCUCUUAGAUACUUAAACACUCGCCUUAAAGCAUUCCAGUGUUCUUUACUUGGAUUAUGAGUGUAUCUACUUCGCCUUCCAACCGCAUAAGCUAUAUCGGGUCUAGUUUUAUUUGCUAUAUACAUCAAAGACCCAAUCAUUUGAGAAUACUCGAAUUGACACACGGGUUCACCACUAUUUUUAAGUAAGCACACAUUUGGUUCAUAUGGUGUCGAUACAGGAUUGCAAUUGAAAAAAUUGAACUUCUUAAGCAUUUUCUCAAUUGAACUAGCUUGGUUUAUAAUAAAACCUGCUUGUGUUCUUUCUACUUUCAUUCCCAAAAUAAUAUUGGCUUCUCCUAGAUCCUUCAUAUCAAAUCUCUUUGAUAGAUAAGACUUUACAUCUUUCACAAUUUCCAAACUUGUUCCAAAUAGUAAUAUAUCAUCAACGUAAAGACAUAAAAUAACACAUUGUCCAUUGCAUUCCUUAUAGUAGACACACUUUUCAUGCUCAUUAAUUUCAAAAUCAUAUUCUAGAAUGACUUUAUCAAACUUCUCAUGCCAUUGCUUAGGAGCUUGCUUGAGUCCAUAUAGCGAUUUAACCAACUUACACACUUUAUGUUCUUGGCCUUUCACUAUAAAUCCUUCGGGUUGCUCCAUGUAAAUUUCUUCAUCUAAGUCUCCAUUCAAAAAUGCUGUUUUAACAUCCAUUUGAUGUACUACUAAAUUAUGUAUAGAAGCUAAUGCUAUGAGGAUCCUAAUUGUGGUAAUCCUAGACACAGGAGAGUAAGUGUCAAAAUAAUCAAUUCCUUUCUUUGAGUGAAUCCCUUGGCUACUAGCCUAGCUUUGUACUUGUCUAUACUUCCAUCAAGCUUCAGUUUCUUCCUAAAUACCCACUUACAACCAAUUGGUGUAGUACCGGGUGGUAAAUCCGUUAACUCCCAAGUGUUGUUUUGUAAAAUAGACUCAACUUCACUAUUUAUAGCUUCUUUCCAAAAUGGAGCAUCGACGGAGAUCAUGGCUUCCUUAUAUGUUGUUGGAUCACCUUCAAUUAGAAAAGUAUAAAAAUCAUCACCAAAGUUCUUCUCCACUCUAGGUCUCUUACUCCUUCUAAGUUCAGCUAGAGGUUCUUCUUCGUUUGUAACUUGAUGGCUAAUACUUGUAGAGGCUUUGUCAGUACUAGUGCAUGAUCUAUCUACCACAUGCUUUUGCAUUCUAGUCUUGAAAGGAAAUAUAUCUUCAAAAUAUGUUGCAUCCCUAGACUCCAAUAUAGUGUUAUUCGAAAUUUCAUUUAUUUCAGAGUUGAUGACUAGAAAUCUAUUGGCACUACUAUUAUGAGCAUAACCUAAGAAAACAGUAUCCACAGUUUUAUGUCCUAUCUUCUUUCUCUUAGGUUCUGGGAUUGCAACUUUAGCCAAACACCCCCACACUUUCAAGACUUGGAGAUUUGGUUUUCUCUUUUUCCAAAUCUCAUAUGGAGUAGUAGUGUUCUCUUUAAUGAUUACUCUAUUUAAUAUAAAACAUGCAGUCAAAAUGGCUUCCCCCCACAAAUUUUCCGGUAAUCCAGAACUCAAAAGCAUUGCAUUCACCAUGUCCAAUAAGGUCCUAUUCUUCCUUUCUGCAACGCCAUUUGAUUGUGGAGAAUAUGGUGCUGUUACUUCAUGUAUAAUACCAUGCUCUUCACAACAAACACUAAGAUCGGUAAGAGUGUACUCACCACCUCUAUCAGACCUUAGUCUCUUUAUCCUUUUCUCUAAUUGAUUUUCCACUUCUGUCUUGUAAAUCUUGAAUUUACCAAAUACUUCAUCCUUGGUCUUUAUCAAAUAAAUAUAACAAUACUUCGAACAAUCAUCUAUAAAUGUGACAAAAUACUUAUUACCAGCUCUAGUAGGUAAUCUAUUUGAGUCACAAACAUCACUAUGUAUAAGCUCUAAAAUUUGUGUAUUUCUCUCGACAGACUUAAAAGGUUUCUUGGGUUGUUUUGCUUGUACACAAAUUUCACACUUAUGCUUGAGAUUCAUGUUUGACUUUGGGACGAGAUCCAAAUCCAUCAUUUUCUUAAUUUUGAACAAGUUUACAUGUCCCAAACGUCCAUGCCAAACAUUACUAGAUCAUCUUGGUAUAUUCAAACACCUCAUUUGAGCAAUGUAUGAGAAGUUAUUCCUAGAAUUAUUGUAUGUGCUUUAAAAAUUAACGUAAAAUUAGUUAUUUCGCAUAUAGGUGAGACGUACCCCGAGGACCAGCAUGGACAAGCAAGAUUAAGGGGCUACGAUCCUACUACUUAUCAGUGAGUAUAUAUAUAUCGUGGUUUCCAUAACAUUUUAAAAAUGAUUUAUGCUUUAAAUGCCACUUUGAAAAUGAGUUGCAUUUUAUGUAUUGCAUUAUUAUAAAUUGUGAACUAUAUCGUUUGAUGCUGCGAAGGCUCAAGUGAGUAUAUUGUGAUGGUAUUGGUUGCAUGGCAUAUUGUUAUGCAUAAAUGCAUUUAGAGCUCAUCAUUGCUGCACCCCGAUGUUAGUGCUCCCGCCCGAGGCUAGGACACAGUCAUUCACGUGAUGUUCACCUCCCGCACCGCACGCUCACCUUGGAUCCAAGUUUGGUGACAGCCCUGUCGUACAGACCACAAUAGGUGGUUUCGACUCGUAGGUGACCCACGAUUAUUCGCACAGCCUUCACGUGAUCGUAGUACUUGAGCGUACAUAUUUACACCAAGCACUAUCAUACAGACCACAAUAGGUGGUUCCGACUCGUGUGCUAGCAUAUAUUGAUGAGCUAUAGGUCCAGUCGUACAGGUCACAUUAGGUGACUCCGACUGAUAUAUUAUUUUAUAUUGAUUUCACCUGGCUUACAUCUUUUAAUGCAUAAACGUUAUGGCAUGGCAUACUUCAGUUUUACUAGCCUUGUGCAUUGAUAUUCGUAUGUAUAUACGUAGUAUCUGGAACUAUACAUGUUUUACAAUGAGGGGUUAUUAUGUUUAGAAAAGAUAAAUGUGUUUUCAAACGUUUUGUUUUUUCCCACGCACCCUUCUAUUUUGCACCCCUCUAGGUCCUAGGUAGCUGUACAUCUUGGUGGUUCACGAGGACUUCUCGGCGGUUCUGACGAUCUUCUAAAUAACUGUAGGGAUGUUCUCCCAAUUUGUACAAUUAACACUUAGUUAGUUCGACUGCACUUUCGUUUACCUAUGCUCUAAUAUGUGUGUAUCUUAUACUUGAUCACUUUCACGCACUUACAUAUUAUCUCUAGUUUAAGUAAGUUUAGUUUUGGUUUUUACUUAGUUGCAUUUUCUUAUUAUUACCAUCAUUUCUGUUGCGCAUUGGGCUACGUUACCCUCACGUAAUGGCCAGCACGUCUCGACUUCGGUCGGGGUAUGUCACUUAUUUUCUAUUUGUGACAUAUUAUUUAGUUUGCAAAUUUAGUUUAAAAUUUUAAUCUCCUUAGAUUAUCCUUCUAUAAAAUAAUACCUCAACAUAAUAGGAAGAAAGAAGGGAACAAGAAGAAUUAAAAGUCAACGGUCUACAGUCCAAAAGAAUUGCAUGGAAGAUGAAAGGAGCAAAUCCUUUGUCGAGCACGGACGUGUUGGAGACUCUUAUCAGGUUGCACUCAUGGUCGAUGCACAACAAUGGAAGAAACAGUUUUACAAUGAUUUUAUGAUUGGUUAAUGAAAUUCAACUGUUCAUGCAGUGGACACACGAACAGAAAUUUCAACACAUGGAAGAACAAGAUUAACCACAAUAAUUGGCGUUAGUGCGUGGUGAUUUACCGUCUCAAAUACUACUCUUUAUUUUAUUUUUUAUUUUUUUUUAAUUUUUUUUACAACACAUUUUAAGUUCGAUACCUAACACUGAUGAAUCACAAUGAUGGUUAGAGAGAGAUUUAAAUGUUUUUGUGAGUGUUUUCGACAUCUGAAAUGAUAGUGUUGUGAUAAAGCCACCAGCUAUUCCCCUGUUUUUAAACAACAAAAAAAGCACAAAUAAUACACUUAGAAAUAUAGAAUAUUGUAGUUUAUCUGAGCUAAACAGGUUUUGAGAAUAAAAUAAAAAAAUAAAAAACAUUGUCAUUAAUGUCCACAUUAAAAUUUUUAAGUUAGAUCUAUCUUUUAACACAUAUGCAUCUUAACCGAAUGCAUGUCACUCAGUUUGUUAAGUGUCAAAGCUCUAUGCACCACAUGUUCAGUUCUAGUGAUUAUUGUAUACCAAAACAAUUUUGAGAUUGGUUUAGACUAAUACGAAAUCUCACUUAGUCAAGUUCUAAGUUAUAAACAGUCUUAAUUAAAGAAAUGUCGCAGAUACUUUAGAAUAAUCGUUCUACACACGUCUCAUUCCAACAUCUUGUUAUAAAACAAUAGAGGAAUCCAAAAUGAUGAUUUCAUAUAUAUAUUUUUAUACCACACGUGUCAUGAACUAAGAUAUUACGCACCCUAAUAAUUUGGAGUAGUCAGAUAGAUUAUAGAGUAAGUUAUCUAAACACAAAUAUACUACAUUAGUAGAGCAUUAAGCCGACAGUUAAUGGGCAGUCAUCUCGUGCAUGGAUCUGUGCUUCAGUAGAGAAAAGCUCCGCCAUCCACGUAUAGCUACUAAAAAACCUUUUUAAUUUCUAUCUAAUCUAAAAACAAAUUAAAAAAACUUUUAAUUGGAGAUUGCACUACCUACUCCCUAUUUAUUUUCUUAAAAAUAAAUAAAUAAAUCAGUUGGUGGUAUUGUCACGGAAGUUCAUUUUUUUAGAGAUAAAAAAGAUUUACAGAGACAUUUCAGUUUCCUCUUACCAUCAUCGUACGAUUCAUCGACGCUAGUAAUCCAAAACCACUAAAUCAUCUCAUAGUGGUUACCUACUCCUUAUUUCCAUUGGAUACUAAUUGAAUCAGCCACUGACCAUUUAUAAUGGUUUGUGGCAUGCCGGAAGAGAAAAUAUAGGGGUGUGCUAUUCAUAUACUUUUUGUUAAUUUCUGUGAUUUGAUUUUUUUUAAUUUAUUCGAUCUGAAAGCUAAAAAUUGAAAAAAAAUAUGUGAAAAAUAAAAAGAAGUGUGUAGAUAGUACAUCCAAAAUAUAUUGUUCAAAGUUAAGCAAUAAUUGAUGAACAUGAUCCAGUGUCGUAUUUUGUACGGUUACCACUCGUUUAUCACAUUCUAAUUUUGGUUUGGGUGUCCUCUCAUUAAUCAUUACUGCUUUGCAGCCUGCAGGAGUAUAUUCUUUCCUUUCUUGACUCAUUGCUCAAGUAAUCCAAAGACAGACUUCCUGAAAUCAUGAUAUAAUCCAAAGACAGAACUAAUCUGCCUGUUAGGUGGGAAAUUGAAUAAGGUGCAAUGGUUAAUUUGGAAAAAUUGAAAUGUCGGUGAUCGGAUGUUUUUUCCACCUAAACACUGUCAAAACAAUGUUUUACUAUGAAAAAAAUUGUUUAACUGCUCUAAUUUUUUUUAAUAAUAUAAAAAUUUCUUGAAAACUCUUCUCUCCUUUGUGAGAGCCUUUCUCUCUACGUGAGGGUUUUCUCAGUGGUUUUUUUUGAGGGUUUCAAUUUUGUGCAAAUCUGGGGGCGCCAACCCUAGUUUCGGCUGGGGUUGGUUAGCCGAUCUUCCUUUCCUUUCUUUGUCUCCUUCCGUUCCUUCCUUCGGCAGCGUUUUACCCCUGCUCUCUUUUUCGUUUUGUCCUUUUCUACUUCUCCUACUGGCGUCCCUCCUCCUUCAUCCAUGCUCCAAUCUGCCAUCAUCUUGUUCUCCUGAGAUGGUGUGUAGAGCUUCGGUGCUUGCACAGGCUCGGGUGUUCCCAACACCAUAAACCUUUCUCUGUUUGCCUUUGUUGGCGGUGUUGCUCAUGGCUUCUCACAGGUUUUUUUCUUCUGGUAGCUGGAAUUCUUUUUCCGGUUGCUUGUUUUCUACGAUUGUGGAUGCGCACUAGGUGGUGCUUGGACUUGGAUGUUCUGAUCAAAGAGUUGACGUGUGGUCGGAGGCAUGGACUUGGGCGAAUUUUGGAACUACUGUUGCGGCGGUGGAUGUUGUCGACUUCUCGGCUUUCUUUUGUUUUUUUUGUUUUGGGCCCACACGGUUGGUUGGGCUUUGUUUCGACUUGUUUGGAUGGUCCAUUUUACUGAUCUUGGUACUCUUAUAUUUGGACCAUCGGUUGUUUAGUUUGUUUGUUUGUUUGCUUCUCUCUUUGUACUUCGGCUUUGCCCCGGAAUUUCAUGUCCAGUUUACCAAAAAGAAAACUGCUCUAAUUUUUUUUGUCUCAAUUAACUGCGCUUUUUUUUUUUUUUUGGAACAAAGGUAAAACCCAUUGGCAACUACAAAUCUACAAACUAAAGGCCCAAAGACGGAAAAACACAAACAAGCAAAAAAGGCCCAACCAAACGAGCCUAACCAACAGUUGGGGCCCAAAACAUAAACAAAGCUAAAGAAAACUGAGAAUUCUGCUGCAACCGCCAUCGCAACAGUGCAUCUUGACCUGUACAACUCCGCACCCCUAAUCGGACCUCGCCGAUCGCAACAUCCAACCUCGAGCACCUCUUCGAGCACAACCAUAAAGUGAAAAAGAGCUAGCGACCAAGUGAAAGAAGCCCAUUGGAUUCCGUAAGCAACACUAUCAGUAAAGGUAGAUAGAGAGAAGGUGGCGGUGUUGGGAACACUCGAGCCGGUGUAAGCACCAGAGCUCUACGCACCAUCUCGACAGACUGCAACAAAUAGUGGGGAAUUGUGACUGCAUAUUGGAGCUUGGAUGAACAAGGAAAAGGGACGCAUGUGGGGUAAGAAGAGGGCAAAUCAGAUGGAGAAUAGGGGAAAUAACAUAAGGGAGGAAAAAAAGCGGCAAAGAGAGAAGAGAGAAUGACUACUGACCCUGGCCGAAACCAGGGUCGACGCCACCGGAAUUGAAGAAAAUUGUAAUCACUCACGCAAACGGUGAGGAACACCUUCAAGCAGAGAAAAAGUCUCCCAAAGGGAGAGAAAUGUCUUUUUAGCAAUUUGAUUCCAAUUAACUGCUCUAAGCUUAACUUUUGAGCUAACCUACAAUGGGUGUUGAAUAGCAGCUAUUCUCAACAUGAUUUGAAUGCCUGUGCAAAAUAAAGACUGAUCGAUAUUUACUUGGAAAUGUUUUAUCUUAUAUGUUAAUUAUGGGAAUUUUCUACUAUAUAUAUACAUAUCAGAGGAGUUUCAUGUCAAAGUUCGGAACUUCGGUAGUGAAAGAGGAACACCUUCAAGCAGAGAAAAAUUAUGUACCUCUUGAAUUUCUUAUAAGCCAAGUAAAUCAGAUAUUAACAAUGGAUGAAAGAGGAUCCAAAAUUUGAUGUAAACACAUGUUCCGUGGAGGAGGGGUAAAACGGGUCAAAUAUCUUAACCGGGUAAUUUGAGGUCUAGACCCGGUUUGAGUUUUAAGUUAAUCUCGGGCGUCGGUUUCAACCAACGGCCACGAUUGACUUAUGCCCAUAGCUCCCUUAAGCUUCUCGAAGCUCCCUGGGUUGGAGCUCAGAGAACGGUCUCGAGAUUGAAAAAUGGCGUCUCUGGUUCGAUCAGCUACUCUCAGAGCACUGAAACCACUUUGCAAUGUCACCCUAAAUGACGCCGUCCUCCGCCGGUCCCAAACCCUGAGCGUGCGGGCUUUCUCCACGACCUUAUCGCCGCCGUCUAAGGCGGUGGUAUACGAGCAACACGGUCCUCCCGACAGGGUCACCAGGUUUAACUUUCUCUCACAAUUUCACCUCUUUUAUUACUCAUUUUUAUUUUAAAUUCUUAAUUUUUAAAUUAGUGGGGGCUUUUUGGUUGGAAGAGUGAUAGAAUUACCGCCGGUUGAAGUGAAGGAGAACGAUGUGUGUGUGAAAAUGUUGGCUGCUCCUAUCAACCCUUCUGAUAUUAAUCGAAUUGAAGGUUUAUUUCUCUUUUUAUUUUCUGGGUUCAGUCUCUCAUUUUUGUUUAUUAUCUGUUUGGUUGCUCAGAAAAUGGAGGUAAAUUUAUUACUUUUAACAUGAGCUCCGAUUUUUUGCUUUAUUUUUAGGAGCAAUUUUUCGAUGUAUCCGGAACACGCCCAUGAAGUGAACCCUAAUUACAAUACGUAAAUUUGUUUUCUUAUAAUACAUCUUAGAAGCGUGACAUAUCAAUCGUGUCGUUCACUUCUAAUAUAACAAGUCUAAUAGGACAACACCUGACUUCUUUCCCUCUAUUAUUAGCUUGUUUUGAAAAAUUCAAAACAAAAAUUAACAUGAGUAAACAAAGUUGCAAAAUAUUUUAAGAUCAUGUUUUGACGAUAUUUUUAUUGAAUUUACUAUUUGUUGCUUACUAGUGGGUCUUUCUUGAAUUGAACCAUGAAAAGGGGUGUACCCUGUGAGGCCACAAGUUCCAGCAGUUGGAGGAUAUGAAGGCGUAGGAGAGGUACAAUCAGUCGGGUCUGCGGUUAAAGGUCUCUCGCCUGGCGAUUUGGUCAUCCCAUCUCCGCCUUCUUUCGGUAAAUUCUUCAUUUCAAGAUCACGUUUCAUUACAUUUACAGUGAUGCAAACAAAAUAUUUGAAUGCAUUUGGAUAAUUGUUUGCUUAGGGACAUGGCAGACUUAUAUUGUGAAAGAUCAGAGUGUAUGGCAUAAGAUCAAUAAAGAUUCACCCUUGGAAUAUGCUGCCACUGUUACGGUUAAUCCUUUGACUGCUCUAAGAAUGCUAGAAGAAUUCACCACUUUAAAGAAAGGUAUAGCAACAUCUGUAAUUUCUACGCUGGUUUCUUAAUCGUCUUAUCACUGACUAAUUUGGUUUGAAUAGGAGAUGCUAUUGUUCAAAAUGGAGCUACAAGCAUCGUGGGGCAGUGCAUUAUUCAGCUUGCACAGCAUCGUGGUAUCCAUAACAUUAACAUAAUAAGGGACAGGUGCUAAUACGAAAGAGUGGUUUAUAAGAAAAUUACAGUUUUCUGAUAGCAGUAUAUUUCUUUGAUUUCUGCAUCCAGAAAAAUACUUUUUUUUUUUCUCUCAAAAGAAUCUUACCUUGGUUUUACCAUUGUAUGCUUUCUACAGGGCUGGAUCCGAUGAAGUAAAAGAAAAACUCAAAAACCUUGGUGCUGAUGAAAUGUUUACAGAGAGUCAGCUGGAAGUUAAGAAUGUCAAGGGUCUUCUGGUAUUAUCUUUAUUUCCUUGUUAUAGUUGAUAUUCUCAAGUGUCUUCUGCAAGUUCUGGAAUUGGUUAAUUAGUUUGUAUAUUGUAGUUCGGUUCUUCCUCCACUUAGUUGUUUCACUAAUCUGUUGGCGUUUAAUCUGAUUAUAUACCAGGGUGGUAUACCUGAACCUUCAUUGGGAUUCAACUGUGUUGGAGGCAAUGCUGCUUCUCUGGUUCUUAAGUUUUUGGGGUAUGAUAUGCCCUACUGUAUGCUUUGAACAGUGCAACAUUUUUAGUGGUAUUAGAAUUUGACAUCCUUUUCUAAAUCUAAUGUAUUUCUGUUUUAGGCGUGGUGGAACUAUGGUAACAUAUGGUGGAAUGUCUAAGAAACCUAUUACUGUAUCAACUUCAUCUUUUAUUUUUAAGGUAUGUCAAUUCUAUUUUUUUGGCUUUACUUUUUAGAUGAAAGUAUAUUGCACACAGAAACCUCAAUUUUUUAUUUCUCCACUGAGAACUGCGAGUUAGUGUGGGUGCGACAGGGAGUGAAGGCAAACAUGUGGAAAUGAGAAGGGAUGCUAGAUUAGAAAUAAAAGGACGUGGGGAAACCAUGAAAUAGGAAAGGGAACAAUAACAAAAGCACAUAGGAAAAUCUGAAUCCUACAAAGAAGAAAAGCAGUUAGAUAUGGCUGAUACCAAUAGAGGUCAAAAGAAUGAAGGUUGCACGUUCCGAAAAAAGGAUUGAGUAGACCCGGUGUCAUUAUAUAUGCAUUUAUGGUAUGUCUAGUCUUGAACUAUUCUAGCAAGUUUUCUUGAGUGUUAGUUUUACAACCCUAGGAGGUCAAUUUGGUUAGAAAUUUAAAGUUGUAUAGUUACGGAAAUCCUUUCUGGCAUUUAAAACCUAGAUUAGGUUAGCUCUUCACGUAGCGUAGCCGCGGAGAUGAAGGGAGAAAUAGGAAUUAUCUGUUGGGGCAUGGUGGGUUGUCAUGUUGGUUGGCGCGCCUUUGGAUUUCAUAGUCUUCAAGGACACAAUUUUGUACACCGACCAGUUCCUGUUAGUAGAGAAAUUUCUCAUUAGUUCCACAGAUUAAUGUAUCUGUUUGUGAUAAUUUCAUUCUGCUUGUGUACUGUGUCUCAUAUAUCUCCGUGUGUAGGAUCUUUCCUUGAGGGGAUUCUGGUUGCAGAAAUGGAUGAGUACAGAAAAGGCAUUUGAGUGUAGAGUUUUGAUAGAUCACCUCCUCGACCUAGCACGGGAAGGGAAGUUAAAAUACGAGUAAGUUCUCUUUUGUCCUCUAUACACUUGCGGCUUCUUUUCUUCCUCCAAUUUUUCAAAUUUUAGUUGCUGUAUUUUUAACAUUUAGAGGUUUUCCCUGUUUGUAGAAUGGAGCUGGUUCCUUUUGACAAAUUCAGUGCUGCACUCGACAACGCGCUUGGGAAACAAGGAAGCCAACCGAAACAAGUUAUCAAUUUUCAGCUUUAAGCAUGACGUAAGGCUUUUGUUUUGGCGAUCCUUGGUUUUAUUAUAAGGUGGUGGAUUUUAUUGCGUUAGGAUUUUACGUCAUAUAUGGGAUCUCCCGGUGCAUAAUGUAAUUGUUAGAACAAAUGGAAUUGGACAUUUACAGCAUUUACUUCCUGUUGGAAUGAAGAGUACAAGACCAUAAUGUUGAGCUGCUUCUUUCAAGUCCUUCAUCCCUUCAACAACAGUAGAGCAUCAUGUGGGUCAAUGUUUUCGCGAUGGAUACGUAUUCAAGUUGUAAUAGUAAAAGAGCGGCGGCUGGUGGUGGUGGUGGGUGGUAUGGAAGUGGAUGAGAAGAUUAUAGUUCAUCAGAAGCCAUGAUUCGAGUUCAGUGUCCGGAUCAAGACGACCGGUAUGCUAGAUUGAUGAAUGCACUCAAAAGGAUUAGGGUUACAAGUUUACCAUGCAUGCAAGCAUGUCAAUUGUCAAAGAGUUGAUGAUUCAAACAAGUGGAGACUUGCUACUUUGAAAACCUAGCUAGCCCUUUUAACAUUGACAACCCCAAUUUAACACACUAAUUUUCAAUUGUAAAUGAGGGGACAAGUAAGUCCCCUUGUGGAGGGACAUGAGCAUUAUUCUUUAAAAUAUAUCUAAAAGCUAGAAAUUUGAUAAAACGUACGUAUUAACUUAGGAAAUUAAAAGAAAAAACACUUUAAACAUAGGAAGCAAUUAGAUAGAUAUAGUUUUACUCGAAUCAUACUCUUCUUCCUCACAUUUCGUUUGCAGUCCAAGAAACUCAAAUAGCCAUGACAACAAGAUAUGAAUGCCAAUUUCCAACUUGUUAAUUACUAUCUGCACAGUCUAACAUGUGUGACGAAGUUUUAUUACAAAAGGCAUCAAUAUUAGUGGGAGUUAGGUAUGAUAUUUAAACUUUUCUUUUCUAAAAAAUAUAGUUAAUAUGAAAUAUUUCUACAAUGAACGAUAUCAUACUUUAAUUAGAGGUUUUAGAGGGGAUAAAAGAGUAUAUUUUGACAUUUUCUCCGUGAUUGGAAAACGAAGUGAGACUUUUUUAGCCGUAUGUAUAUAUAAAUCAUGGUGUGGUACCCUUUAUUAUCUGUUAAAUGUCCACGUUUCAGUUUUAUUUGUUAUUAAAAGUUUGUAACCAGUUUAAUAAUUGUAAAUUUCUUUAUUUGUUAAGCUCCAAUUAGCUAGUGACCUUUAUAUGCAUGCCAAAAUAAAGAAACCCAUCUAGUUAAUACAACACUUUUUCCUUAUUAAUAAAAUUUUCUUCGUACCGUUGAAGUUUUAAAAAAAAUACAAUAAACUUCAAAGCACAAUGGUGAAAAGAUGUUGUAUCCUUGCAUGACGGCGUGGUUUCGAACUUCGUUGGUGGUUAAUCUAAAAUUUAACUUACUACCGUUAUCGCUUGAUUUAAAAAAAAAAAAUAAUAAUAAUAAUAAGAAUAGUUCAAAAACCUUUAUUAAUUAGCCUCAUAUGAUAUGAUACAUGACCAAGAACCUAAUAGUACAAAGGAUAAUAGUGAAAAUCAUCCAUCUUCGAAGGCUUUGCACAAAAGAAAAAUACAAGAACGAGCGCACAAGUGGAAGCAGCCGCUAGAGCUAGUACAAGAAACCAAUUCUCUGUUGCCUCCUUGAGCCAAGAAACUCCACCAGAACUAACAACAUCUUUCACAACCACGUCGUACUCUGGAUACCUUAGGGUUUGAAAAGCCGGAUCAAACAGGUCUUCAACCCCGUGAACAAUCAGCCGUCCAUUGUUAUAGAGAUCCCAUUCAGUGACUUUGACUAGGUUAAGAGAAGCAUAUCCAUACGUGCCAGCCGGUAGGGAAGUAACGACGAGAGGAUGACCGGGCAGGAGAGUGUCGACCUUGGAACCGUGACGGAAGGAGACCUCCAUGGAAGCUUUGUCCACCUUGAAGGGAACAGCAUGGUACUUAAGGAGUGUCAAUGGGGGCUGUGGGUACUUGGAGUUGAAGAAAGCUUUGUCUUGUGGGCAAAAGAGGGUAACAGUGCUGUUAGGGUUUAUAGCCUCAAGAAGGAUGUCUAGGGUAAGUGACAUGGCAUGAUACCCUUUGUCGGAGAGGAUGACUGAUACCAAACCGCCGUUGAUUAUCUCGGAUGGUUCGCGUUGGUUCGUUUCUCGGUAGGGUUGGACGGCAUCAGCUUGCAUGGUGUUGGUAACAGAGAGAGGUGAAGUGAGAAGAAGAACGAGAAGAAACGGAGUGCAAACUUGGGAUCCAUGGGAGAAGAGAGAGCUAGGUGUAUAGGGCUAUAUAAUUGCAUACAACAAGAGAUUUAGAGAGAGUUUGGUGAAACAAAACGUGAGGCGGAACCGCAUAUUUAUAGUACCGAGCCAGUUUCUUAAUCCUACCCUAAUUCUAAUUGAUUUCCAAAUCGUAAAGGGAAUAUCUUUUUCUUUCUGGAAACAUAGUCUCUUGGCGGUUUCCAAUUUUUCUUGGGUUUUUGGGCCAAAAUAUAAUGUCCACUUGAAUAAUCACUUGGAAUCCGUGUAAAUGUAAUGACUUCUCCAAAAAUAAAUGUAAACAAUUGCUAAUUAGCCAGACAUAAUAGAAAAACUUAUAAUGACUUAUAUUAACACAAAACAGCAAAAAAAUAAAAAUAAAAUAUUAACCUGGUCCUGAGCUCUACCAUUUAUAUUUACUCACUUAUCUAGCAGGCAAAGAUUUACCUUUGUGGAAAGAAUAAUCCAUUUGGAUCGACGUGAGAGUUCAACUACAUUGCAUUGCCAGAAUCCAUGUUGUAUAUUUGACAGAAGAUGACCCCUUGCUUCUUUUGUGUUACAAUCCUCUUCCUGUUGCACCCCCUUUCUCUUCAGUCCACAGAGACAAAAUGUAGGACUGGUGCCAACAGUUCAUCACGGAAGAAAAGACCCACUAAGCAAGAUCAAUAACUAAUAAUACUAAUGAAAAUGCUAAUUUGAUAGAAAAACUGUCUUUUAUAUAUACUUUCCCCAGUUAUGUUGCUACUGUGGACUUUACACAACCAAUUGGAUCAUAUAAAAUAUCCCUUCAACACAACAUAGGUCCUUGAAAGGAUCUCGAAAACCCACCAAAGCACGAAAGCCAAGAUUUUUCGGAAAAUCGAUUCCUAUUCGAAGAAUGUCACCGUAUUUACAGAGUUAUCCAUUUUUGAGCUAAGUUUCACCGCUACAAUGUUCUAGUUGUAUGCAAAUCAUUCCAAAGGGACCAUAUAGCCGCUAGCUUUGUCAAUUGUCACAUAUUUAUGCAUACUAAGUGAAUGCUAAUUUACUCAAAAAGGUUCACAAGAAAGUCCAAUCCAAAAAAGUAUAAAGACCGCUAUAUUCUUACUUUUAUAUACAAACCACGUCAAAUCCAAAGAAGGCCGGGAGAACCCUCAGCUCUUACUAGACUCUCAGAUUGAAUCAAUCCAGAAGCUUCACAUUACCAUAUCACUCUCGUUAUGAAACCGCCGUUUCAUCCUCUCAACACAAAGGAGAACCCCCGUCUCCCCUAGUUAAUCUUCUUAUAUAGAAUCUCCUCACAAAUGAGAUACAUUACCAACCUUCCGUAACCAAAAGCAUCCUUCAAAUGAGAUGCCGGUCGGUGGAAAACACAACAGAAAGAGAAUACAGGUCGCGGCCGACAAAAUUAUCCCAACAUGUUGUCUGGAUUGAAGUGUAGAGACUCCCUCCAUAUAAGCUCCUUUAUAUCUUCUUCAUCCAGGGAUGCCUGCUCAAAGUCAAAGACGAACGGAGAUGGGCAAACAGGCUCCUCAUUUAUCUCGUGAAGACUUGAUAAAAAUGGAUGGUUCAGUGCUUCCUCCACUUUUCGUACAUAGUGAACCAAAAAGAUAAAUGUUUAGUACUGUGAAAAUGAAUGAGAAAAUUGAGGACUGAGCGUUAUUUAAUGCUACGAGGCUUACCAGUAAUACGUUUGCUUGGAUCAAAAACUAGCAUUCUUUCUGCAAGAUCAAUUGCCAGUGGCCAGACAUUUGGGAAUUUCUCGGCAAAGGGUUGCUUCGGGAAAUGUGGGAGCUGCUUGACAUACUUCCUAGCAUUAUCACUUCUUAAAAAGCCAAGAUCUGAAUCAUCUGGUGAACCUAGCAGCUGUAUUUGAACAAUCAAGAAUUUGAAACAUCAAAACUAUAAAAUUAACGGCAUAAACUUCCAAAUUCUGUAACUAGUUCUGACAUCCCUUCUAAAGAAUGUCAAUAAUAAACAAUAUACUCUGCUAAAGCUGAAUCACAUCUAUCAAGUUCAAGAGUGCCUAGAGAAUAUGAUAGAAAGUGCGUAUACCUCAGUUAUGAGACUCAACUGCUGAACAUAGUCUUUACCGGGAAACAGUGGUUCCCUCUUAAGAAUUUCCAUGAAGAUGCACCCUACUGACCAAAUAUCAAUUGCUGCAGUGUAUUCUGAACAGUUGAGUAGUAACUCUGGGGCUCGAUACCAACGAGUUACAACAUAUUCUGUCAUGAAAUCUGUCUCUGAUGUAGUUCUUGCAAGCCCAAAGUCACAAAUCUUAAGGUCACAAUUUGCAUUGAGAAGCAGGUUACUCGGUUUCAGGUCGCGGUGCAAAACAUUUGCAGAGUGUAUGUACUUCAAUCCCCGCAGUAAUUGAUACAGGAAAUACUGCAAGAAACAUUAUAUGCUGCUUAAAAUUUAAGUGAUCUAAACUUUGAUUUCAACAGAACUUAUUAGGUAAUUUACUAUACUUUUGAGUAUAUAUAUAUACAUGUUGCAAAUACCACAUGACCAAUACAUAAUCUACAUAUCAUCACGAGAGAGCGAGAUGGAAAGAUAACCAAACAGAAGCACGAAAUUUCAGAAUUGCGGCAAAAAAAUGAAAUACAGAUCAAAUAUUCAUUCUGCCUGCCCGUGUCCAAUGUUUAUGUCUGGCUUACCAGGUACCAAUUUGCAUAUCAGACUUUUAGGUCAUAUUAAAAGGCAUGUGACACAGUGCUGUACAUGGCCUCUUACCUUAUUCAAGCAAACGUACAUGUCGAAUUGUAAAGAUACCGAUCAUAAUUAACAGCGAAAUUCACCUUAUUCAAGAGAUUAGUAGCUGUUUUUGAACAACAAAGUGCUUGAUUCAUCGACAUCAUAAACCUAAUAGUUUUACCAUUGAAAUUUUGAUUAAUCGACAUUCCUUCAAAACAAUUAUCACAAUAUGACAAUGCUCAACUCACCUGACAGUGAUCAUCUGUCAAAGCCUGGCUGGAGUGUAUUAUCUGAUUCAAGUCAGUAUCCAUCAAUUCAUAUACAAAGUAAACAUCAUUGAACUUUUCCCUAUCUGCCGGCUUUAUGAUGUCCUUAAUUUUGAUAACCUGCAAAACAACAACCCAAUUAUUUCUUAUUUGGGUAAUAUUUAUCAUUCAGCUCCAUUUGGGUAAUUCCAACUUUCCAAAAGGAAGGAACAGCAGAUGAGGUUUUACAUUGUCAUGAUCCAUAUGACAAAGGAGCUUUAUCUCUCGAAGCGUCCUCUUCGCAUCGAUCCUAUUGUCAAAUGCAUUCCCAAUUUCUUGAUUGCAACCUCUUCUUUUGUCUCAGAGUUUGUUGCACAGCUGCCAUAAGGGAAACAUUAACCACCUCUACGCUGAGUGCUCUCAUUGGGUAAAAAUCAAGAUACAAAUUAACAUAUAUUCACAAUAAAAUCUCUCAAAUUUAUCAAACUAAAGUAACACUAUGUCCAGUUCAAAUACAAAAGCAACCGAAAUCAAAACGAUCGAAAAAAAUCGAAUACUGGGUCAUUGAAUUUGAAUCCAAAAUCUAUCCUUUUGGGACCCAAGAAAGGCAAAAUCCCACAAAGCUAAAGCCUACCCAGUUCAAUUUUGGAACCAAACUUUCCAAAUCCAAGCUUAAAAGUUCAACCCUGCUUUUCCCAGAAUUCAAACAGAUACCAGUUCUCAGCCAAAAACCAAAGUCAAAACAGAAACCAAAAAAAGUGGAGAGAGAGAGAUAGGUACCAGACGAUGCCGUAUGCACCGCGACCGACUGGAUGAAUAGGAGGGGCAUAUUUGGCGGAGACUUCAAAGAGAUUACCCAGAAUGUUGUACUGUACAUACUUGCCACCGUACAGAGAAAUCCCUUCUUUGUUUGCUUGAUUAGCUUCAAUAUUCUCAGACUCCAUCUCUUUCUUUCCUUCCUUGUAAUUCUCCGAGAGAAAGGAAUAAAAACAAGAAAAAAGAAAGCCCUGCGGAGUUCUCACACCCACAAACACAGGAGAGGGAGAGAGAGAUAAGGAUAUGGAAAAGGUCGAGUGACCGCCUGAAAAUGGUGAGUGAAAGCUAUGGAGGGGCCAUUUGACACCGCCUCUGCCUGACAGCCACCAAGCUCUUCUGCUUUUUUUGUUUCUUUUGGAUUCCAACUUUUUAACUUUCAAAUUUGAACGCGGAAAAAGAAAAGUCAGUGAGUCAAGAAAUCAUAAGUCAAGUUUUGGUCUUUUCUUUCUGUUUUUUUUUUCCAGUCUUUACAUUCUGUUGAAACUUGAAAAUUCGUCUUCGUGGGCCCAAACUAUGAGCAGGCCCAUAAGGCUGCAGCUUGGAUGGAGCUGCCUUCUGGCUUGGGUUGCACCGGAAAUUACAAACUAGGAGUGGGCCUUCAAACUCUCUUAACGACAAAAUGUAUUCUCCUUCUCUAACUGUUUUUGUUUUCAGUUUCAAGAUAUAAAUAAAGUGAAACAUGAUUUGGGUUUCAAGAGGCAUACCAAUAAAUAUGAUGCAUUCAAGAGGAUGCACGUCCCACCUCUCGUGAUAACUUAUAUUAAUUUUAUGGGUUAAUCUCAGUUUACUACUCUCAAGUUUAGUGGUUUUCAACAUUUGUUACAUGAAGUUUUUUUCGUCUAAGAAUCAUACCUAAAGUGUUAAUUUUGGGACAGUCUCAUACAUCCGUUAAGUUUUCGUCAAAACCUCUGUUAACUGAUGACGUGGUGCCCACAUGGAUAAUGACUUGGUACCACGUGAGAAAACCCAGCAACCACCAAUCUUUACCCACAACCCAACCCCGUGAGCCGCCAGAAAUGGGUUUCCAAUUGGAGGCUAAGAGAGAAAAAUGAGAGUCCCGCCAAUCCCAAUCCCGCUACCGACCACAAUGCGGAGCCUCCCCGCCUAGUUCCCAACAACCCAUCGGUCGCGUCGGCACUUAUGUCUCACCUGCUUCCAUAGGAGAUCAACGGCUUCGAGGAGCAGCGAGAAGGGACGAUUUUUAGGUUUUCAAGCAAGGCGGUGUCGGGUCGGGACGAGUAGUAACCGGUUCCCGUUGAUGAAGAGGACCAGGUUGCAGCAGAAGAAAGGUGUUGAUGCUGAGGCUGAGAGAUAUGUGGAACAGAGGAAGACUGCUAGAAGAGCAAGGGCGGAGCUAGGAUUUUUUUCUUGGGUGGGCUAGUUGAAAAUAGUACCAUAAAAUCAUAUGAUUAUUUUUUUUGCUUAUAUAAAAUAUAUAAUAAUCAAUAUAAAAGAACAACAAUAUAAUAUAAACUAUUCUCAAAAUCAUAACCAUAACCGAUAAAUUCAAGGACCAUAUAAAUAAUUAACCUACUAAUUCAAUCAAGAAUAAGUAAAUAAAGAGAUUAAGAACGUACCAAAUGUGACAUCCAUUGAAAAAGUGCAACGGAAAGUCAGGAAUUGCAGAUAUAGGGAUUUAAUUGUGUAUUAAAGAACUUAUUAAUCUUUUCUUGAGUAAGAAGCAUAGAGGCUAAACUACAUAGGGUAAAUGGUCUUUUCCUUUAAAGAAUAGAAUAAAGGGGGACUGGAGAUAGAGCUAAUUUAUCAUUUUUAGCAUAAAACUAUUAUUUACUACCUCUCCUCUACUAAAUAUACAUUAAAUAAUAAUAUGUAUUGAAAUUGAGUAGGCUAUAAGCAUGAGUUUACAAAAGAAUAGAUCUAUUUACAAACCCAUUUUUACUUCCAACACAUCCUUAUUAAUAUUUUGUCAGUGAUCAUUUUCAAUUCGUUCGAUCCGAACAACCGACAAUUAAGAGAAGUGUGUAAGAAGUAAAAAUGAGUGCAUGGAUAACACUACCCUUACAAAAAACCUCCCUGGGCUAUAGCCCACCUUAGCCUUGUGAGUGGCUACACCAUUGUAGAAUAGGGGUUGGUGUUUGCUUGAAGAUAAAGAAGGCUGGGUUGGUGUUUGGUUGCUGGGAAAAUCAUAAGCCAAAAAGAAAAUAAGGGUUUUAUUGUUAUGAUGUUGCUCAUAGAAAAUCGAGAUCGGCGGUGGCUUUCAUUCUCUCUUGGUCUCCGAUUGGGACCCAUUUCUAGCGGCUCACGGGGUUGGGUUGUGGUUGUUGGGUUUUCUCACAUAAGAGGGAGAGAGAUAGAGGAAGAAAGGAAGAAGACGGAAACAAAAUUAAUUUUUAAAAUUUUUAAUUCUUUAAUUUUUUAAUUUUUUAAUAUUUAAGUCAGUCCAAAUUGACAUGUGGCACCAAGUCAUUGUCUAUAUGGGCGCCACAUCAUCAGUUAACGGAGGUUCUGACGGAAAACUUAACAAAUGUAUGAGACUAUCCCAAAAUUAACAUUUUAGGUAUGACUAUGUAACGAAAAAAACUUCAUGUACCAAAUGUUGAAACCCACGAAACUUGAGAGUAAUAAACUGAGAUUAACCCUAAUUUUAUAAUUGAAAUCGUUCAAAUUUUUAAUCUUAUUUGAACAUCAUCCAUACAAAUAAAUCAAAGUGAAAAUUAUUUAGUCAUUCAAACGUAUCAAAUAAAUAAGUGGUUCAUUAUGAAUUUGUUAUUUGGUACUCACAUAAUAAACGAUUUUCGAUUCAAAUGUUUUUUGUUGUACGCAUAAUUUUCAAAUGAAAAAUAAGAAAUUGAAUAGUUCCAAUUAUGUCGGCACUGGUGCGACAUGUGCGUUCCCUCACGGUGGAUGAAAUUAUUAUCUUAUUUGUUUGGUGUGACUAAAAGCACCCAAUAAAAUUUGAAACUAAUGAACUCUAUUUUUCUAUCACCGAAAUAAAAAUAGUAAUAUAAAAUUGCAGUAAAAAAAACUUAUAUAAAUACAAUUAGAAGGGGGUUUUUGGGCUUAUAAAAUAAACAAUAGGUUCUGAAAUAAUGCCCUUAUCAAUUAAGGAUAAGUGCCCCACCUGUCACGCUAGGCUUUAAUUUUUGCUGUGUUUUUGCAUUUAAAUGUAUUUAUACGAAGAUCAUGACUUCAGUUAUGUACUGGACUCUGGUGGCACCUAUGGCUUUAUUAUUUAAUUCCAUUUAAUUUUUCAAUAAAAAAUAAUUUCAUUUUAGAUCCUCUUCGAAUCAGUUUUAUGGGAAUCCUCGGCACCAAUUGGGCUGGGAAUCCUCGGCACCAAUUGGGCUCAUCCGUUGAUAGAAAUCCGACGGCCAAAAUGUCUUCCCCUUCCUCUCUUCCCCAUCAACUUCUUUCUCCCCCACCACCGCACCCACCGCUAUUGACAAACCCCAAAUUGAAUUGUAGGUCUUUGUUUCUCUCUCUAUAAUUCCUCUACGGUUAUGAAAAAGAUCUUUGCAACCAAAAGACAUUGUUUUACACGCCCAUCUCUUUGUUGUUUUGUUAAUAUCAAUUGAGAAUUUAAGGUCGAAAGACCAACAAUUGAGGGAUGUGACGGUGCUAGGGCUCAUUUUGGAGAGGGUAAAGUGAGAGCUUGCAAUUGGGGGUUGUGGGUUGGGUGUCUUGUGUGGCAAUGUUGGGGCUGAUUUUGAGGUGAGGUUGAACUUGAUUUGGAAUUUAGGUGACUAGUGGUUCAAGGUUGAGAGGUUUGAAGCGAGGGAUAAAGAGAAAAGUUAAGGGAAAGAGAAGAAGGAAAAGAGAUUUUGAUCGUUAAAUGCGUAUUAAUCGAUGAGAUUAAUCGGUCCGUAUCAUUUGCAUCGUACUAAUCAUGGAAUCUCAACAAGUCGUGGGUUUUCUUUCCUUAUCUUGAAUCAAAACAAACGAAAAAGUCAGAAAGUAGUAUUAAGAAAUUCUUGUUGUCGUUGGAAGUUAGCAUCGUCAAACAGCAUGAACAUGCAUCAAACUUACUACUUUCGCUUGGCGGAAAAGAAACUUAGGCCUCGUUUGGUACCUCGGAUUGUACUGACUAUUUCAGUCGGAUAGGAUAAAUAGUCGUCGGAUAGUACUGACUAAAUUAGUCAGGCGUUUGGUGCAGUGUCGGAUUAAUAUGUGCAUCGAACAAUAAUAAAUUUUUUUAAUAAUUUUUAACAAAAUAAUUGGUGUUAAAAUGAAAAAAAAAGGAGAAUACUAAAAAAGAAUUUAAAAAAAAAAAGAAUAAUGUGUGCACGAACAAAAAAAAAGAAAGAAGAUAAAAAAAAAAAAAAACGCAGGUCGUCUUCCUUUCUUCGUCGUCUUUCCCACCUGCAGUAAACCAUGUUGAUGAACCUUCCAAUCCUGUAAACCCAACCUCCUAAUUUCUCAUACCACUACUUAAAAGCUCCACAAUGGUAAAAUAAAAAGAAAAUUAAGAUCAAAUCUGAUGAAGAUUUACACUGUGAUUAAAACCCUCAACUCAGAAGAACAAAAGGCUCAGAUGGACAUGGAAAAAAGGAGUAAAAGCUUCGUAAUGAAAUUGGUGUCUAUAGUAAAAAGACCCUAGUUCUUGGUGAUGGAGAAAACCCAGAAAACCCAAAUAGCAAACAGAAUAGAAAUUAAUCCAAGAAGAAAAGGAAGAAGACGACCACACGACGACUGAGCAUUAAUAGCAACAAGAUGUGUUCACAAUUUGUAGGUUUCGCAGAAGCAGAUUCGCCAGAGAGGGAACAGAGAAGGAACAAGCGUAAUUUCAUGAAGCCGACUAAUUAUACCGACGUUUUGGGGUGGACAAGUUAGCGGGUGUCCACCGUAUUAUUUAGGUGGGGCCAGAUUAUUAGUACGGUGACUAUUUAUCCAGUAGGAGCACCAAACAACUGGCACCGUAUUAUUAGUCCUAUCCGGUGUCUUAUACGGUGUGCCAAACGAGGCCUUAGGGUCUAUAUAUACAUCUGCAUCCAGAAAAAAUGGCUCAUAACGCACCUUCUUGCAACACGUGGCAAAGCCCGUACGGAUUGAAUUAAAGAUUCGAAGGUGAAAGAUUAUUCCUUUUCCGUCCGAUUUUUCAAUCCUUGUUGAGCUGUUGAUAUCCAAUGUCCGUAAACCUAGACCACUUGAAAAGAGUCAAGUCCGGCGUUUGAGGAAUUGUUCUUGAUAUGUAUCCAUCUCUCCAUUCAACUCAGUAUCAUACCGAAAUCAAUCAAAAAGUUCAAUAUAUGUGACGUAGAAGAAAAUAAAUAGGUAUUUUCCCUUCACAUUAACUAUGUAGAUACGUAACUUAGCAACAUAUACAAUAUAGUUUCGACCAGUUUCACCUUCCAAUUAAUUGCAAUAGAACAACUUAUUAGGUAAUGCGUAGUUUAGUUUGAUUUAAGUGAAAACUAGUGAAGAUUAUUUGAAUUUUUUCCAUCAAUAUAUAUAAAAGGAUGAUUCCAAACCAACAUGUCUUCCUGCUUUGCAAGAGUCCCGGAAGGGAAAGGGAACGUCUAUUGUGCACAUCAGUACCCUUACUUUGCAAAGAGGCUGUUUCCACGACUUAAACCGAUGACCUUUCGAUCACAAGGGAGCAACCUUUUUGUUGUGCCAAGGCUCGCUCUCUUCCAUUAAAAUAUAGGGUAAUACUUGGCUACUCAAAAAUAAGUAGGAACUCAUAUUCAAAAUUUCUCAAAAUUGUUUGUUGUCAAUUUAUAGAACUUCAUGUUUAUAAUCAAAAUCAUUCAUAUUAUAAAUCACCCUAUAAAGAUCGCAUCUGCAAAAAAUCAAUUAAAACUAAGGUCGUUAAGUCAUCAAACUGUUUAAAAACAAAUGAACGGUAUUGGAAAAAAUAUUACGAACUGUUUAUGUAUUUACUACAAUAGAUUGACCAAACAACCUUAGUUUUAAUUUAUUUUUUGUAGAGAUGAUCUUUACAGUGUGAUUCAUAAUAUGAAUAGUUCUAACCAUAAGUACAAAAUUCUGUGAUUAAAACACUAAGAGUUUUGAGUAGGAACUCCUGCUCAUCUUUGAGUAGCUAAGUAUGGUUCUUUAUAUAAUUCUUUUGACAUUCUAUAUUUGGUUGGAUAAAUAUCACUUGUCAAUGUACAAGACUUGUAGCCAAUGGUAAAGGGGGGAUUACGAGGCUUUCUUAAAACUAAAAACUGGAGGUCUCGGGUUCAAAACUCGUUGCUGGUGUGGAAGCCAAACUUGUGGCCAGUGAGAGGCUGAAAUGCUUUUGUGAAUCUUCCCGGCCCCCCAAAAAAGUGGAUAAUCAUGACUUACCACCAAUUGUCCUCCUUUUUAAAGAAAAAAAGUGUACAAGACUUGUGAUAAAAGAAAUGUCAAUACCACACAUGAGAUUAAUUAGUCAAUCCUUCACACUAUUUUAUAACGUUGGACUUUAAUUGAAUUUCGAAAAACAAUAACGCUGGACUUUAAUUGAAUUUCUUCCACCCACAUCAUUAUUUUCUACUCCUACAUAUAUCGCAACGUGCAUGUUCCAUGUACACAAGUCCUUUUAGAGGGAGACUAAUUUGUUAGGGAACAAUUACAAUUGGCUGUCUAAUUUUGACUUGUAUUGUGUCACAUGAUUGAUUGUCGCUAAUUCAUAACGUAAUUAGUUGUCGCUAACACGCACAUCGAUUGUCACUACAAGCAGAACAACAUGGCUAGAUUCCAUAACUCCCUAAUAUAUAUAUAUAUGGAAGAAUGGGAUCCCAAUUCAACUUCAUGUAAUGCAAGCAUAUUGUGCUCCCUCCUCCCUGUGAUGUUUUUUCUUUUCUUUUUUUCACGAAACGAUAGCAGUAUUUCAUUGAUCAUCACAAACAAAUACAAGGGUGCCGAUUUGGUACAUUGCUCCAGUGACCAAUACAUUGAUCUGGAGUGAAUUUGCACAAACAAAUGAUUAAUUAAAACCCUACACGGCUACCACAAGUAAGGUGCACCAAUACAAAUUUAUCACAAAAACGAUAAACGUAACAAACCAAUACUAGUGUAAUGGCUCACUACAUGACAUAUGCGACACAUAAGCGUCGAUCAUUCCCUAAUUUUCUUCCAGAAGGAUAAUGAAAGUGACAAAUAAUUAAAGAGAAAGUUGCUUAUUCUAAUCUGAUGGUUAGCAUUAGCUAAUAAGUCGUUUGAUUAGCUUAUUUAAUCAAGAGGACGACCCUUCAAAAUUAAAUUAAAGUUCAACCGUAUUACAAACUAAAGCCUUGGUGUUAAGACAAAUUCUUCAUUAAGAAAUUCGCAUAAAGAUUUAGAAAGUACACAUCGAAAGAGACUUGAAGACCAAAAGUACAAGCAGUGCAACAUAUUCUUAAAGAAGAUAUGAUAUUUCAUUCUUUGAAAAAAAAAUGACAUUACAAAUACAUAUCAUGAAGAACUCAACUCUUAAAAGGUCAUUGCAAACCAUAUCUAAAAUAUUGCAAUAAAGUAUCAGCAAAUCGCUGCCAUGAUCCCAGAACACCAAGUGAAGGUGACUCAGCAAAUCAAACAACUCCACCAUUCAAACAUAUAUUCAAAAGAGAUGUAGCACACCAAAAUGAAAAUUAAAAUGAAGCAAUUCUCGUAUAGAGAGCAAUCAAACUAGCAAACUCUUCCAUAAAAAGAGAAAUUGGAACCAAACUCCAAGACAUAUCCUAUAUAUUAUUAAAUAGAAACAAAAUAAAAGGAUAAAACCGCGUCACUGCUUUACAUCCUCCGGACAUCCAAGAGCCAUAGCACCGAACCGGCUAAACCCAUAGUAUCGUACUAGGUAAACUCAAUCCCGACAACUAUAACAUUUACAGUGACAAUUUUACACCAAAACAAAGUAAAUGGAAAGGGAGAGAGGAAAAAUAUAAAAAAUGAUUGUCAAGAAGAUUUCCACCGCCACAAAAGCCAAAACAAGGAGAUGGCGACAUAUAAUUUUUCUUUGAUUUUUGUUUUAGAUGUGUAGGGUUUUUAUGUAUGUUUUUUGUUUGGUAAAUGAGCUAGAACGCGCUAAAACGCGCUAAAAUUUCCGUAUACAUAGAAUAAAAGGAAAACAAGCUCCAACCAAAUCAACUUAAAUUGAGCACAAGAAGUAGCAACUACCAAAUACCAACUAGUCAAAGUACGUAAGACUUAGAUUCCUCGAAUCUUAUCCGUGUGAGUGGGAUUGGAAAUGAAUGCGAGUAUUGAAGCUACUUUGCACGAUGCGCAUCAAAAUUGGAGUGUUUCGAGUUCCUUUACGCACAAUUGUAAAUUGUAAUGAAGUGGCUCGCUUAAUAAUUUUAUUUCUCACUUUUUAAUUCUCUCGAUCCAGAUUUUAACGUUUUUAUUAAAAUUUAAUAAAUUCAUAGUAUUGGCCCAAAAAAAAUACAUAAGAUUGUUAGGGCUUUUGAAAGGAAAAAAAUAUUAAGAAAGUUAAAUAAACAAGGGUCUUUCUGUAUAUCCUGUUUAGUUUUGCCCCUUGAUCAUUCAAUUUAACACUGAAAAUAAAAAAGGGCGGGCAAUAAGAGAAAAGUCGAGUCUUGAAGGCACUUUCCCUAAUAUUAUAUAUAUAUAUAUAUAUUUAGCCCCUCCCCAAUUUGUUUGGGGAUUUAACAAUAAUCCUUCAAUUUAAGAACCAAAAAAUAUUUAUAAUUACUAUUUUAGGCCUAAUAAGACAGAAUUAUUAUGGUAGGUGUAUUAACUAUUUCUUAACAAUUUUAGGGUAAGGAAAAUUAGAGCAUCAUCUAUCACCCAAAACACAAGCCGAUAGAUUACAUAUUAUAAUAUAAGUGAUGAUAUGGAAUAUUUUUGCACUGUAUCGUUAUUUAUAUUAUAACACAUAGUGUAAUGUCUCGUGUUUUGUAUACGUUGAAAAAGUCCCAAAAAGGGGCCUUUCUUUUACUGAAAUAAAUGCUCAAUUCAAACUCCCAACAUACCAAGCAACACAGAUCUGGCAAUAAAAUUGGAAGGUAAGGUACUAUAUUUGAACAAAAUGGGUACAUUGAAAACACAGUAAAAUUACGAAGCUGAAAAACAACCCCUUCUUGUUCUAAAUCACUGUAAUACUAAACAAAACCCUGAAGGCCUACGUCACAUCUGCAACAAAAAGGCCUACGGGCACACACCAACACAGCAAACCAUUUCCCCAAAUUUCUCUCUUAACCCCAACCUCAAUCCCUUGUGUCCGAGAAAUUCUGAAUAUAAAUUUCCUGUCACGUCACUCGUAUGCUCAUGACACACGUUAAGAAGGAUUCGUGCAUUCAGGUCUUCCAAAGUGGGUCUGUGUGGUACUGGUACCUGAAUGCAAUGAUAUCCCUCUUCGCGUGUCUUAUGUAGACGGGUGGUGCAGAACAGAAUUCCUUACCCAAGAAUCUCCGGUCACAUCCCAUAAACUCAAAGACCAAAUAAAUUAAAAAAAUGAAGAAAACUAUAUUACACAAAGUUAACAAGAACCUCAAUUUUAAGAAAAAUGAGGGAUCAGGAGCGAUCGGACUGAACAUCGGAGCAGUACCCACUUGUGGUUUCAGCUGGGGUUUGGGAGCUGGAGCUCAGGAACCCUCCAUUUUCCCUUGGCUUUCGAGCUCCCCUGCCCGCCAUGGGAGCCAAGAACUUGACCAGUUCCUUAAAUAUCUUGAUCUUGAUCUGUCCCCUCCUGGGAGGGAGCCUUCGAUUUCGGCUGUGCUUGGACUUGGAACCUGGGAUUUCCAGUUUUUUCAAAUUCGACAUGAUGAAUUUGAAGGGUGACGACAAGAGCAGAAGAACAGAGGAGAACAGAGUUUUUAGUUGAAGGCGAUGAAAAAGGAGAAUUUCUCGACGAAAAAGAAAGAGAGUGUGAUGGUUUUAAAGGCAUUUUGUUUUGUUUAGGGAUUUUUGGUGGAACUUUCAUGCUAUUUGGAGUGGCCGUAUUUCAAGACGUGGCACUUUGUAGUGGCUGGCUUGAACUCUCAUGCUAUUUUUCGUAUGCCGGUAAAGAACAUAUUCUUUUUAGGGUAAAUCUCCGUUUAUUCCAUCAUAUUUUAUGGUUUUCAACAUUUAGUAUAUUAAAUGUUGACAUGGCGCCUAUAUAGAUAAUAACUGAACGUCACGUGUCAUUAAGAGGUCCAUGUGAAAAUUAAAAAUUCAAAAAAAUAAUUAUUUUAAAAAAAGUUUAAUUAAAAAAAAAAAGAAGCAAAACCCAGAUUGUGGGUUUCGCAGUUGGAUAGAGAGAGAGAGGGAGAGGGAGACAGCACGAAAGAGGGAGAGGGAAGAGUAGAAGGAUCCCUCGCUGAAUAACUUCCUCCAAUUGUCAAUGUCGAAGAAAAAUAUUAAAAUAACAUAAGCAAAGUAGGGACACUCCGUACAUUGACAAGAUUUCAUGUUGAAUAUAAUAUUGGGCAAAUUAAACCAAACCAAUAAAAGUGUUUGCCCCAGAAUUGUGAGAGCAAUUACACGUAAUGAGUUUACUAUUACCGAAUUGUUUUGGUCUUGUAUUGCAGUGCAAUAACAUAAGACAACAAACUUAAACAUGAUAAUUUAUUAUUAAAUUAAAACAUUAUGUAACGGUAAAUCUGUUUUAUGUAAAUUAUAUAUUUAUUUAUAUAUACUAAAACUCAAAUCAAAUGUUACUAUUCAUUAACAGUAGCAUGACGAAAAUGCUCUCCAAAUAUUUGUCUCAAAUUGGUUUGUCUUGGUUUUUGUAUGGUGGAAGGGCGGUGAUGUAAAUUUAAACUAACCUAAAUAAUAGAUUAAUUUAAACCAAAUUAAACUCGCAAGCGCACGAAUCAAUUGUAGAAAUAAACGCAAAUACGAGGUCGAUCCCACAGAGAUUGCCUUUAAUGCCAAUUCAACCAGUUGAUUACGCGAAACUUAACUUAACUAAGGAACAAAUGAUUGAUUAAUUGAUUAUGAAUAAUAAUUGAAACUUUACUUCAAAUUAGACUAAGAAUGUGAAUAAUGAAAACACGCAACAAAAGAAAGUUUAAAAGAAAUUAAUGUGAUGAAAGCCUAAGGUUAUGAAUCCACCAAUAACAAUCCUAUUCCCUUUCCUUCAAGCCAAUUACUAUCCAAUUACCAUGCCAACAUUUAAGGUUGUUCUUUCUAAGAUAUGAAUUGAUCCUUGGUCAGGCAUCCACUCGUGUGCUUAUACAUGAAAACUAUAUCCUAUUGGUUAGGCAUACAGUUAAACACAUACAAACCCAUUAAACACAGAAGAAUUAUGUCAACCAAGCAGGACUAGUUUGAUAUUGAUUAUCCUCACUAGUUUGUCUACUCUUCCUAAUCUUAGUUCCAAUAAACCUAAUUGAUAUUGGUCAUCCUCUCAGAUUUAUCUAAUUAUCUAGAAACAAGUUCACAAUGAUGGCCAAUCACAAGAACAUGUAAAUCUAGAAUAGAUUAAGCACAAAGAUUAAGAACUAAACAUGGCAUGUAAUCAAAUAAUAAUCAACAAAAUAAUUCGGAAAUAAUCAUGUCAUGGCUUCAUCAUAAACCUUAGAAGACGAGUUUAGUUACACAUGGUCAUAAUAAAAAUCACAACAGAAAUCAUGGAAAAAAAUAAAAUCCGGAAAAGAAUGGUAAGAACACACUCAACAGCCUGUCUUCACUUUGGACGAAUCUUCCUUGUGUAUUUCGUUUUUCUCCCCUUCUCGCUUCUCCUUGGGACACCCUCGGGCCCUUUUUAUAUCCUAAUAAAACCCUCAUAAGUCUGAUAAAAACUAUCCUAAAAGAAAACAGACUCCUAAGUAAUUAAUAAAACAAAUUAGGAAAGAGUUCCUCUUGACUUGGUAAACACGGCAUCUGACUUGCACGCCAGAUUUGGAGCCGAUUUAUCUUCUGGAAAAAUCUGUAAAAAUAUGGAAAACGUAGCUUUAUCUCUUAUCUUUCCAGGAAUAUAUCCCACAUCACUAGGAAAAAUCGGGAAAGCCUCCAAAUCUUCAUUCUCCCACAACUGCGCAGUUCUGACGGGACAGUGACUUCUGUGGGAUUGAUUUGUAAAACUGGAACGUUUGACUCCAUGAAAAAUUACGAAAUUUGGACACAAUGAUCUUCCAUCUCUUAGCUUCCUUCUCCAAUUGUCCUUGCAUCAAAACUCCUCCGAAAAGUCAAAUUAUCAUCAAAAAUGUCCUGCAUGCGCAGAUUGACAGAAACAGAGAAAAGGAAAGUAGUAAGGCUCUUUUAAGACCAAUUCUUUAACAAAACUUAGUGAGAAUUAACCUGAAAAUGUGAUAAAUAAUGCACCUAUCAGGCGGUUUUACCCUUUCGAUAUCACGCAUCGAUCAUUGACUGACCCUCUAUUUCAACUGUAUCUUCUCGAUUCUUUUUUUCCGUUUCACUUCUCUCUCACAAAUCUCUCUUAUGUCGCUCUCAAACUCACCCUCUCUGGCUCUUAGUUCUCUCAGGCUUGGUUUUGCUCCUCUACUCGCUGCCUAGAAGACCAAGUUCCCGAGGUUCAGAGACUCCUCCUCGACCUUUUCCUUCGUAGUAUUGGCCCACAAAAGUACAUAAGAUUGUUAGGGCUUUUGAAAGAAAAAAAAAAUUAAGAAAGUUAAAUAAACAAGGGGCUUUCUAUAUAUAUAUAUAUAUAUCCUGUUUAGUUUUGACCCUUGAUCAUUCAAUUUAACAUUGAAAAUAAAAAAGGGCUGGCAAUAAGAGAAAAGUCGAGACUUGAAGGCACUUUCCCUAAUAUUAUAUAUAUAUAUAUAUAUAGUCCCCCCAUUUUUUUGGGGAUUUAACAAUAAUCCUUCAAUUUAAGAACCAAAAAUUAUUUAUAAUCACUAUUUUAGGCCUAAUAAGACAGAAUUAUUAUGGUAGGCGUAUUAACUAUAUCUUAACAAUUUUAGGGUAAGGAAUAUUAGAGCAUCAUCAAUCACCCAAAACACAAGCCGAUAGAUUACAUAUUAUAAUAUAUGUGAUGAUAUGGAGUAUUUUUGCACUAUAACGUCAAUUAUAUUAUAACAUAUAGUGUAAUGUUUUAUGUUUUGUAUACGUUGACAAAGUCCCAAUCAAAGUUACCAAAAACUGCUUUGUACCCAAAAAGGGGCUGUUCUUUUACUGAAAUAAAUGCUCAAAUCCAACUCCCAACAUACCAAGCAACACAGAUCUGGCAAUACAAUUGGAAGGUAAAGUAUUUUAUUUGAACAAAAUGGGUACAUUGAAAACACAGCAAAAUUACAAAGCUGAAAAACAACCACUUCUUGUUCUAAAUCACUGUAAAUACUAAACAAAACCCUGAAGGCCUACAUCACUUGGGCAACAAAAAGGCCUACGGGCACACACCAACACAGCAAACCCAUUUCCCCAAACUUCUCUCUUAACCCCAACCUCAAUCCCUCGUGUCCAAGAAAUUCUGAAUAUAAAUUUUGUGUCACGUCACUCGUAAGUCCAAGACACACGUUAAGAAGAAUUCGUGCAUUCAGGUCUUCCAAAGUGGGUCCAUGUGGUACUGGACCACUGGUACCUGAAUGCAAUGAGGUCCCUCUUCGCGUGUCUUUUGUAGACCGGUGAUGCGGAACAGAAUUCCUUACCCAAGAAUCUCCGGUCACAUCCCAUAAACUCAAAGACCAAAUAAAUAAAUAAAAAAUGAACAAAACCAUAGUAAACAAAGUUAACAAGAAGCUCAAUUUUCAGAAAAUGAGGGAUCCGGAGCGAUCAGACUGAGCUUCGGAGCAGUACCCAAACCCCAGCUGAAACCCCAAGUGGGUACUGCUCCAUUUUCCCUUGGCUUUCGAGCUCCCCCGCCCGCCAUGGGAGCCAAGAACUUGACCAAUUCCUUAAAUAUCUUGAUCUUGAUCUGUCCCCUCCUGGGAGGGAGCCUUCGAUUUCGGCUGUGCUUGGACUUGGAACCUGGGAUUUCCAGUUUUUUCGAAUUCGACAUGAUGAAUCUGAAGGGUGAGGACAAGAGAAGAAGAACAGAGGAAAACAGAGUGUUUAUUUGGAGGCUUUUUCUCUCUCUAGAGUCUAGAGAGAGGGGAUGAGCAAAAAGAGAAUUUUCUUGGACGGAAAAGAAAGAGAGUGAAUUGUUGUAACAAAGUGAAUGCGCUUUGGGGAUUUUGAGGGGAUGGUUUUAUAGAGGCAUUUUGCAUUUUGUUGCACAAGACUCAGCUUGCUGACUUAGAGCAUCUAGAGGCACUUUGCAUUUGUUGCAUAAGACUUAGCUUCCUCACUAAGACAUUCUAGAAGCAUAUGUGGAGUCUGUAGAUAAAACUGCGCAAGUACAUAAAACUCCGCAAUCAAGCUAUUUUUCGUAUGCCGGAAAAGGACAUAUUCUUUUUAAAUUUUACGUUGGUAGCCUAUUUGAAGAAAACAAAGAGUUCACAAGAGUGACUUUUGUUGAUGGAGCCGUUUUGAACUAGAUUGUUUGUUCAAUGUUUAACGUAUGAUGUAUGCGUUUUUAUUUGAGUUUUAAAAAAAAUUCUAUCGUUUGAAUAAAAAAAAAUGUAAAAGUUGCAUGUUUUACCACUAGAGUUUGCGAUUCUUGUCAAAAGAUGAAUUUUUUAUAUAAUAAAAUUUGUUCUUUGACAAUAUAUAUAUAUAUAUAUAUAUAUAUAUAUAUAUAUAUAUAUAUAUAUAUAUAUAUAUAUAUUAAAAUUUGUUGGGCGUUUAAAUAUAAAGAUAGAAAAUCUUCCUUUACCUCGUUUCUCUUUUAUUGUUGGAGUCUUAACUAUCACCACAUUAAUAAAGGUUCAUUUUGUCACCUAAAUGUCAAACGAAUUAAAAUAUCAUAUCGUAGGAUUGAAGAGAGAAGGGGGGGGGGGCACUCUUAUUUAUUUAUUUUUUAACAUAAAUAUUAUUGAUUCAAAAUAUAAAUGGUUCUGAUCAUAAAUCAUAAGCACAAAACUCUGUGAUUAAAACACUAAGAGUUUUGAGUAGGAGCUCCUACUUAUCUUUGAGUAGCCAAAUUUUGUUCUUUAUAUAACUCUUUGGACGUUCUAUAUUUGGUUGUAUAAAUAUCUUUUGUCAAUGUACUAGAUUUCUGACUAGUGGUAAAUGACGAAUUAUGAGGCUUCCUUAAAACAAAAAACCGGAGGUCUCGGGUUCGAAACCCGCUGCUGGUGUGGAAGCUAGACUUGUGGCCAGGGGAGAUUGAAAUGUCUAUGUGAGUCUUCCCGACCCCCGAAAAAAAUCGAUAAUCAUGGCUUGCCACUAGUUGUUCUCAUUUUUAAAGGAAAAAAAAAUGUACGAGACUUGUGAGGGAAAUGUCAAUACACACAUGGGAUUAAUUAGUCAAUCCUUCACACUAUUAUAUAACGUUGGACUUUAAUUGAGUUUCGGAUAACAAUAACGUUGGACUUCAAUUGAAUUUAUUCCUCCCACAUCAUUAUUUUCUACUCCUGCAUAUACCGCAACGUGCAUGUUCCAUGUACACAAGUCCUUUUAGGGGGAGACUAAUUUGUUUGGGAACAAUUACAAUUGGCCGUCUAAUUUUGAUUUGUAUUGUGUCACAUGAUUGAUUGUCACUCAUUUACAACGUAAUUAGUUGUCACUAACACACGCAUGAUCGAUUGUCCUUACAAGCAAAACAACAUGGCUAGAUCCCAUAACUCCCUAAUAUAUGGAAGAAUGGGAUCCCUAUUCAACUUCAUGUGAUGCAAGCAUAUUGUGAUCCCUCCUCCCUGUGAUGUUUUUUCUUUUCAUUUACAAGAAACGAUAGUGGUAUUUCAUUGAUCAUCAUAAACAAAUACAAGGGUGCUAAUUGGGUACAUUGCUCUAGUGACCAAUACAUUGAUCUGGAGUGAAUUUGCACAAACAAGCGAUUAAUUAAAACCCCUACACGACUACUACAAUCAAAGUGCACCAAUACAAAUUUGUCACAAAAACGAUACGCAACAAACCAAUACUAGUGUAGUGGCUCACUGCAUGACAUAUGCGACACAUAAGCAUCGAUCAUUCCCUAAUUUUCUUUCAGAAGGAUAAUGAAAGUGACAAAUAAUUAAAGAGAGAGUUGCUUAUUCUAAUCUGAUGGUUAGCAUUAGCUAAUAAGUCGUUUGAUUUGUUUGUUUAAUCAAAUGAAAUUUCAACCCGUAUUACAAAAGCCUUGGUGUUAAGACAAAUUCUUCAUUCGCAUAAAGAUUUAGAACGUAGUAGUACACAUCGAAGGAGACUCGAAGACCGAAAAGACUAGCAGUACAACAUCAUGUCCAGAUUCAUUGCCGGAUUCAGUCAAAUUCUUAAAGAAGAUAAUAUCUUUUAAAAAAAUGACAUUACAAAUACAUAUCAUGAAGAACUCAAUUCUAAAAGGGUAAUUGCAAACUAGAUUUAAAAUAUUGCAAUGAAGUAUCAGCAAAUCACUGUCACGAUCCUAGAACACCAAGUGAAGAAGAUUACGCAAAUCAAACAGCUCCACCAUUCAAACAUAAAUUCACAGGAGAUGUAGCACACCGAAACAAAGUAAAUGGAAAGGAAGAGAGGAGAAAUACCAAAAAUGAUUGUCAAGAUGAUUUCCACCAACUCCAACAAAGCCAAAACAAGGAGGCGACAGAUAAUUUUUCUCUGAUUUUUGCUUCAGACGUCUAGGGUUUUUAUGUAUGUUUUUUGUUUGGUAAAUGAGCCUAGGAAAAAAAGAUAAGAAACAAGCUAAGCAAUUGUUAACACUUGAGUUUUAUCCAUAUACCUUAAUUUAUAUCACCAAGCAUCAUUAAGCACCCUUUGGAAUUUAGAGGGGCAAUUAAUGUGAAGUGUGAACCGAAACAAACAUUUCCAAACGACUUCAAAUUUUAGCUUUGCCUAUAUUAGCAGCCUAAUUUGUCUUCAUACUUUCUCAAUCUUUGUCGCACACCAAUUAGACACGUAGUCCCAAAGCCAUUGACUAAUCACGAAUUGAAUACAAGUUCUUUAGACGAAAAUCCAUUGACUAAUCAAUCACUUGAAUACAAUUUCUUCUUAAUCGUUGCCUAAAAAGACAAUGUUUUAAUCUAAGAUAAUUCCUUAAUUACAAUCCGUCAAAUGGUGACGGGUGACACCCUUGAUGACUCGUUCGGUCUCGAUGAGUCAUAUGCCAUUUGUAAGAUUUGUGAGACACAUGGCGCAUGCAUGCCACUUAAGUCGUGAAUAUCAAAAUUUAAUGUGUUGGUGAGUAUUCAUAGCACCGAAAUUUACAUGUCUACACUAAACUUUGAGCUUUUUCAAGUAUCUAAUAAUUUAACAAACAUUUUUUUGUGCCUACAACCAUCUUUUCAUCUUUCCCUACAAAAAAAUUUGGAAUAAAUGAUUAGAAAGCGACCACCAAGACAUAACUAGUUGGAUAAUUGUGUACCAAUAAGAUCCCAUUGAUUUCCUCAAUUAACUUAGAAAGUUUCCAAAUUAUACUAAUCUUGUUGUUAAUCACCUUAUCCUAAAACGCGCUAAAAUUCCCGCAUACAUAGAAUAAAAGGAAAAUAAGUUCCAACCAAAUCAAAUUCAUUGAACACAAGAACUAGCAACUACCAAAUACCAACUAGUCAAAGUACAUGAGACUUAGAUUCCUCUAAUCUUUAUCCGUGUGCUGAGUGGGAGUUGGAAAUGAAUGUAAGUAUUGAAGUUACUUUGCACGAUGUGCAUCAAAAUUGGAGUGGUUCGAGUUCCUUUAUGUGCAAUUGUAAUGAAGUGGCUCACUUAAUAAUUUUCUUUGUCACUUUUUAAUUUUCUCGGUCUAGAUUUGAACGUUUUUAUUAAAAUUUAAUAAAUUCAUAGUAUUGGCCCCAAAAUGUAUAUUAAGAUUGUUAGGGUUUUUUUGAAAGAAACAAAAAUUAAGAAAGUUAAAUAAACAAGGGGCUUUUAGCAUUAAACCCCCAAAAGACAAACACUUUUUCGCAAUCGAUCCCUGUUUAUAAGGAAAUGAUUUCAGCAUAUUAUUUUUAACUUUCUGCAUAUAAUGUUUAGUUUUGACCUUUGAUCAUUCAAUUUAACAUUGAAAAUAAAAAGGGGCGGGCAAUAAGAGAAAAGUUGAGUCUUGAAGGCGCUUUCCCUAAUAUUAUAUAUAUUUAAUCCCUCCAUUUGUUUGGGCAUUUAACAAUAAUCCUUCAAUUUAAGAACCAAAAAUUAUUUAUAAUCACUAUUUUAGGCUUAAAAAGACGGAAUUAUUGUGGUAGGUGCAUUAACUAUAUCUUUAACAAUUUUAGGAUAAGGAAAAUUAGAGCAUCAUCAAUCACCCAGAACACAAGCCGGUAAAUUACAUAUUAUAAUAUAAGUGAUAAUAUGAAAUAUUUUUGCAUUGUAUCAUCAUUUAUAUUAUAACACAUAGUGUAAUGUCUUGUGUUUUGUGUACGUUGAAAAAUGUCCGAAUACGACCGAUCAAAGGUACCAAAAGCUGCUUUGUACCCAACAAGGGGCUGUUAUUUUACUGAAAUUAAUGCUCAAAUCCAACUCCCAACAUACCAAGCAACACAGAUCUGGCGAUAAAAUUGGAAGGUAAAGUAUUUUAUUUGAACAAAAUGGGUACAUUGAAAACACAGUAAAAUUACAAAGCUGAAAAACAGCCACUUCUUGUUCUAAAUCACUGUAAUACUAAACAAAACGCUGAAGGCCUACAUCACUUCUGCAGCAAAAUCUAAAUCGCCUACGGGCACACACCAACGCAGCAAACCCACUUCCCCAAAUUUCUCUCUUAACCCCCAACCUCAAUGCCUCAUGUCCGAGAAAUUCUGAAUAUAAAUUUCGUGUCACGUCAUAUGCUCAAGACACACACUAAGAAAGAUUCGUGCAUUCAGGUCUUCCAAAGUGGGUCCAUGUGGUACUGGUACCUGAAUGCAAUGAGGUCCCUCUUCGCGUGUCUUGUGUAGACGGGUGAUGCGGAACAGAAUUCCUUCCCAUAAACUCAAAACCAAAUAAAUUAAAAAAAUUAACAAAACUAUAGUAUACAAAGUUAACAAGAAGCUCACUUUUCAGAAAAUGAGGGAUCCGGAGCGAUCAGACUGAGCUUCGGAGCAGUACCCAAACCCCAGCUGAAACCCCAAGUGGGUACUGCUCCAUUUUCCCUCGGCUUUCGAGCUCCCCCGCCGGCCAUGGGAGCCAAGAACUUGACCAAUUCCUUAAAUAUCUUGAUCUUGAUCUGUCCCCUCCUGGGAGGGAGCCUUCGAUUUCGGCCGUGCUUGGACUUGGAACCUGGGAUUUCCAGUUUUUUCGAAUUCGACAUGAUGAAUUUGAAGGGUGAGGACAAGAGCAGAAGAACAGAGUGUUUAGUUGAAGGCUUUUUCUCUCUCUAGAGUCUAGAGAGAGGGGAUGAACAAAAAGAGGAUUUUCUUGGACGGAAAAGAAAGAGAGUGAAUUGUAACAAGGUGAAUGUGCUUUGGGGAUUUUGAGUGGAUGGUUUUAUAGAGGCAUUUUGCAUUUUGGCGCAAAAGACUUGGCUUGCUCACUAAGAUUUACCUUGUUUCAGAACUAGAUUGGUUGUUCAAUGUUUUGGCAUUCGAUGUAUGCGUCUCUAUUUGAGUUUAAUAAAGUAUUCUAUCGUUUGAAAAAUAAAAUUAACUGUAAAAAUUGCAUGUUUUUACCAAUAGAGUUUGCGAUACUAGUCAAAAGAUGAAUAUUUUAUGUAAUUAAAUUUGUUGGGCGUUUAAAUAUAAAAAUAGAAAAUCUUCCUAAUUACCUCGUUUCUCUUUUGUUGUUGGAGUCUUAACUAGGCACCACACUAACAAAGCAUCAUUUUGUCACCUAAAUGUCAAACGAAUUAGAAUAAAAAAUGUUACUCUUACCUUUUCUUCGUACUAUGUUUUUAAUAGAGAUGAAAUAAAUAUGUGUUAGUGGGUUCUAUUUUUAUUAGCAAAAUAGUACAAAUUAUAGUAUAAAUAGACUGUAAGCAUAGCGUUGCACAGUUAUAAUACGAUCUUGAAGUAUGUUUGGUUGAGGAAAUUGAAGAUGAUGGGAUUUGGGAGUCAUGGUGCAUUUCUAGCUUAGAAAUCAUUUCUCAAUUAGAAAUGCAAUUGAAUAAUAUGGUACAUGUCGUAUAAAAACUUUCCACGUGGAUAACAAUGACCCAAAACAUCAUAUGGUUGGUUUGAAGGGGCGGGGCCCACUCUUAUUUAUUUAUUUAUUUUUAACAUAAAUAUUAUUGAUUCAAAAGAUGGCCAUAUGAAUCUUUUGGGUCAAUGACGUUUUGAAGACAUUAGACUGAAACAUCGCCACAUGCAUAAUUAUAUCCAUUUAUAUGAUAAUACGUAGAUUGAUUUUGUUCAUAUUCCAUCAUAAAACUUAACAAAUUCAUGGUCUACAUUUAUAUAAUAACAUGUGAACCGUUUAUAAACUUGUUUGGAAGUACUUUUAAAAUAACUGAAAACACUUUAAGAGAACAUAUUUGUUAAGUUCCAAUUGCACUUAAAAUGCUUCUUGAAAGAAGCAUUAGUUAUGUGCACUUUACCCUGUUUUCAAAAUUCAAUUGUAUUUUUGUUAAAUAUUAAUUCUAAAAAUAUUUUCACAAAAAUAUAAUUUGGUCAUUUUGAAAGCAGGAGCUCUAUAUCACUUUUUGGUGCAGGGCACAUAAUGAUUUUUCCAAUACCUCAGCUCAGAUAAACCAUAACUUUUUACCUUUUUCCUUCGUUAUUAGUUUAUGAAAAAACAUUAAGCAUCUACAAAUGAACCAUCGGAAACAAGUUAAACGUGUGGGCCUCUAAAUCAUGUCAUAUAACGCGGUGUUGGAAUAUUCGGAUACAUUACGAAAGAAAGAGAUGGAUGGAUGUCACAAUUAUAUUCUUAAUUAUUUUCAUUUUUUAUGUUAAUUUGUUCCAUGUAACAAGCAAUUUUAGAGAUUUAGAGAAGCAGUAGCAACCAAUUUUAUAGUAAUUUAUUGGCCGGCAAGAAGAAAAUUUACAGUCAAAUUUAGUAAUUUAUUGGCCGGCAAGAAGAAAAUUUACAAUCAAACGCGUGGGACCCUUGCAAAUAUAUAUAUCAUAAUUUUGCAUGCAGCUCUUAUGGUUCUAAAUCACAAAGAGCAAAAUGAAUUUAUAUUUGGGAUGAUCACGGAGAUUUUGUAAAAACUUAGGUUUUUUUUUUUUGGUUUACAUGGUUCCUGAGGUUUACAUAAUUCCUCACUUUAGUAUUUGAGAUUUGAAAUCUAGUAGAAGUGGUGCCUGAGUUUAUCCAUCAUCAAUCAUUUUGGUUAUUUCAUGAAAAAUAUCCAUUAAAUGAGAAUAAAAUGAUAAAAAUAAUCUCAAAUUUUGACUAAUCAUUUUGGCCUAUUGUUUAUUAAAUUGAGGGUAUUUUUAUCAUUUUAUCCUUAUUUGAUAUAAUUUUUCACGAAAUGACCAAAAUAAUUGGUAGUAAAUAAACUCAGGGACAAUUUCUUUCAAUUUCAAAUCUUAGCGAUUAAUGUUAAUAAUUACGCCAAUCUCAGAGACCAUUUUAGCUAAAAAGCUAAAAACUUUUUGCAACGUUUUGUUUAUAUUAUAUUAUCCUACAUGAAAACCGCGUCCCUCCCUCUUUAGCGUGCAUUAUACUCACUCAAACACAGGAAUUUGAAAGUAAACGAGGACAAUAGAUAUUAGAUUUUGUGGGCUCAAAAUCUCACAUCUCACAUCUCAAGUAGUACCUAAUAAGUUGACAUUAAUUGCUAUAUAUUUUAUUUUUGACAUGAUGACAAAAUCAAGUCUAGGCCAAGAACAAAUUAGUGUUCAGGAGACCAAUUAGAGUUGAGGUGAGAGGGAUAUAUCAAGAAAAUUGCAAACAAGCUACAUGUGGUAAAUGAAAACAAAUCGAUCCAUUGAUCGUAAGAAAAACUUUCAUGUCUCGAAUUUACUGUACUCCUCUCUUCCUAUAAACUCGUCAACUGAUCAGAUUUGGAAAAAAGAGAUGAAUAUACACUUAAACUUGUGUAAGUUAUUCUUGUAUAUUUCAAGUUAAUAAAGUUAUUAGUCCUACCAAAAAGUUAUGGAUCGAUACAUACCAUAAUCAUUAUGCAUCACAUUGACAUGGCAUAGAAAAAAAUUCGUAAAAUCAAAUGACGAGGAAUAUUGUUGGUAGCAUUUCGUAUUAUUUCUUAUAUAUCGUACAUGUUUGGUAUAUAAAAAGUAUGAAUCUUAUCAACAAUAAUUGUGUGUUAUCCAAUUAGCUAGGUUGAUGUGAUGAAGUGCCUCUUUUUUCAGAUAGAAAGAGAUGCACCUUUCAAAGUGCAGCCAUCGAAACUGAAGUCCGCCACCAAAGUUGACCCAAUCCCACAUCAUAUAGUAUAUGCUAGGGUUUGGUUUAAGGGAGGCCUCCAACAAACUAAGAGCUAAUUAAUUCAGAAAAAAAUGUUCUUGGAUAUUGUUAAUUAAUCAAAAUAACAAUAUAGGAGGAACUUAAUUUAGCAACACGUGUCCGUAGGUGCAUAGAAGAAAUGUGGGAUUAUAAUUGUAGUAAUGAAGGAGACAUUAAAGUGUACAGAGAAAUGUGGUUUAGUUAAUUUGUUCUUAGUUCCCAAAAAGGAACAUCAAUAAUUUUAAAGUAUUAUGGAUUAGUUUUUUUUUAAUAAAUGAUAGGGAUACUUUAUUUAUACUAAAAAACUAAUAAGAAGGGUGUCAAUUGAGUACAUCUUUUUCAGUGAUCAAAUUCUUGAUAUGAAGAGAAUACACGCACAACAAGCAAACUUAAUUAACCCCUAUAUGGCAACCACAGUGAACGAAGGAACACAUGAACCAUCGAUAUAUAGUUUGCCACAAUAAAUCAGUGAUAACAUAUCCAAAACCUAAGAACACACAAAGUCAUCGUAAAGAUGUGAGGCCGCACAAACCGCUAGGCAACACAAACAUACACAAACACAAACACAAAAUACAACUAAGCCAAGAAGAAAACCAUGGUCAGCUCAUCUCCACAAAGACAAAGCAAGGCGCACAAAUCUUGCCCCUCUGCAACCGGAUUUGCGUCAAUGACAACCCAAUCAAAGUGUCUCCAUUACAUACUUGGCCGUGAAAGGCGAUUCGAUAACAGAUAUGUCCAUGAGUCCGCAACCAUCAUCGAAUCAAGCUAGAUCGGCUACCAACGACAUACUAAAAAGCUAUCAUCCCAACAAUUGAAAUUAAUAAUAAUAAUUUUGAUCAAUUUCCAUUUGUUCUUUACUUAUAUAUUUCUUUUUAUCCAGAUGUAGAUGCAUUCCUAUUUAGAAUGGUGAUAUUUGGCUGGGUCUUAUAUUCUACAUGUUCCAAACAUUUUUUAACCUCACCAUAUCAUACAAAAGCUAAAGUCAUGCUAUUUCAUCUAUCACUUUCACACCAAAUAAAAAGAAUUAGUAUCAUCAUAUAUGAUAUUCCAAAUUAAAUUAAUGUAUGUGUGGGAGGACUAGAUAGAAAAAUGUCAGCGAACACGGUUUGGAUCAUUUGGCAAUUUUUGAAAAAUUCAAUCAAAUAAUGUAAAUAAUGAAAAAUCACUUCAUUUGGUCUGAGACGUAGAGAAAACUACGUCAUUGUCAGGAGGGCUUGUGACGAUUGCGAGAUGUUGCAAAAUAUUCGAUUUCAAAGAGUUUGGCACAAGAAAUUGUGUGAUGAUGUAAAAUUGUGUCAAUUUGUAGGGCAAGCAAAAGCGCGUCCCACUAAUCUACCAUGCAUGCAUGCAUGAUAAAUAAACAAAUAAAUAAAUAAAAACAAAAAUAAGUAAAAUGAAAACUAAUUAUCUUAAUCUAAGUCCCUCGUUAUCAUCAACAUAAAAUUUAAAAGCAAACUUUAAAUACAUACAACCAUUAACAAAUCAUGCAUAACUUUUUUUUUUUUUAGUAUAUCGAUAUUUUUACACUAGAAGGAAUGAGAAUUCGACUAAACCACACGAUGGGUAACCUAAUUUGAUAUCGAAUUCGCCAUCUACGAGAUUUGAACUAAAGACCUCUCAUUUUCAAGUGAAAAGGAAUUUACCAAACUGUAGUACUGAAUGGUAAAUUAUGCAUAACUUUGAUUGUUAGAUGAUUGAUAGACAUCAAUAAUUUCAAGGACUAAUAGAAGAAUGUUUACGCGGAAAGCUAACCCAAUUAAAGAUCGAUGAUUUCAUCAUUAAUUGCACUAAUAUUUUUUUAUGUAAAACCGCACACCUACUAGAUUGUAUAUACAAUUAAGUUGAAGACAUAAUAAUGUUAACUAGUAAUGAACUGUUGUACCGACUAUUAAACUUUGUCAUCGAUAAGAACAAAUGAGAGUUUAAAAAAGUUUAAAAUUGCAAAAAUAAAAAAUAAAAAACAAAGAUUUUCAUUUUGGUUUAUAGUACCACCAAUGAUUAGUUUUCCCAUUAUCAAUGUUAGUUUAUGGUACAAAUUAUACAUCAAGCAAAGGAAAUGGCUUAAACAAAGCGGGGCUUGUUUGCUUAUUUCAGUUUUUCCUUUCGGGGGUUUUCCUUUUUAGGGCCAACAUCUUGACAUGGUGCAUUGUUUUGGUUAUUUAUAGGGUGGUGUUAUCCGAGAGAGGAUUCUCACCGUAUCCUCUUUGUGAAGAUUUCGGAGAUCCUCAAAUCACAUCCGUUCAUUGUACAUCGUGUAGUCAGUUUUCUUCAGGUACUGUUUAUAUUCAAUUUUAAAUAAAAAAAUUACAAUGAUUUCUAACCGUACGAUGUACAAUGAACGGAUGUAAUUUGAGAAUCCCUGGAAUCCUCACAAAGAGGAUAUGGCGAGGAUCCUCACUCGUGUUAUCCAACCACUUAUUUUUACUUUUCACAUUCACUUUUUAAUUUUCAAUUGUUACAUUUAAUGAAUUGAAGAAUAUCAAUUGACAAAAUUUAGCAAUGGUGUGUGUGAGCCAAAAAAAUGAUGUGUAAAUAGCACUACUCUAUUUACAUACUCAUAUUUAAAGAGUAAUGCUAGAAAGAUCAAAAUUGUAAAUCAAAUUUUGUAAACCAAAUGAUGUGGAUAUUGAUUAUUAGAUUAUUACUUAAUGUUAAUUAACGUAUUUAUCUCUUAUUGGUGACACAUUAUUUAAUUUGAAAUUUUGGUUUAACAAUUUAAUCUUCUUAGCAUUACUCUUUGUAUAAAAACCAAAAAAGAGCUGGUAAUAGCACUGCACUUUAAAAUAGGUAAAAGAAAUAGGUACUCUGCACUUCUGUCUAAAAUGAUUAAUAACAUUUACCUCUACACUCAAAGUACUAAAUUUAAUUCUACCACUUUAAACGACCGUAUAGAAAAAGAAUAACACAAUAUAAAAUUUCAAAAAUUGCUAAGAGGAUGUAAUAUCCAUACACCUCUUUUUACUUCUUCCACAUUUUUUUGGUUUUCGGCCGUCGGAUCAGAUGAAUUAAAGAAGAUGAAUGGAUAGAAAUUAAUAAAAAUAUGUAAAAAGUAAAAAAUGGUGUGUGAAUAGCACACAAAAAAAAAA
This 43606-nucleotide long non-coding RNA is filed under the name Malus domestica (apple). RNAcentral's name for it is "long non-coding RNA (MDOM_LNC002506)". Lineage: Eukaryota; Viridiplantae; Streptophyta; Magnoliopsida; Rosales; Rosaceae. The record is from RNAcentral.